GAUGAACGCUGGCGGCGUGCCUAAUACAUGCAAGUCGAGCGAACAGACGAGGAGCUUGCUCCUCUGACGUUAGCGGCGGACGGGUGAGUAACCCGUGGAUAACCUACCUAUAAGACUGGGAUAACUUCGGGAAACCGGAUCUAAUACCGGAUAAUAUAUUGAACCGCAUGGUUCACUAGUGCAAGACGUUCUUGCUGUCCCUUUUAGAUGGAUCCGCGCCGCAUUAGCUAGUUGGUAAGGUAACGGCUUACCAAGGCAACGAUGAGUAGCCGACCUGAGAGGGUGAUCGGCCACACUGGAACUGAGACACGGUCCAGACUCCUACGGGAGGCAGCAGUAGGGAAUCUUCCGCAAAGGGCGAAAGCUUGACGGAGCAACGCCGCGUGAGUGAUGAAGGUCUUCGGAUCGUAAAACUCUGUUAUUAGGGAAGAAAAAGUGUGUAAGUAACUAUGCACGUCUUGACGGUACCUAAUCAGAAAGCCACGGCUAACUACGUG
RNAcentral lists this ribosomal RNA (497 nucleotides) under uncultured bacterium. RNAcentral describes it as "partial 16S ribosomal RNA". It matches the Rfam family "Bacterial small subunit ribosomal RNA", at positions 28 to 507 of the family's 1533-position model. The record is from RNAcentral.